This 497-nucleotide ribosomal RNA is filed under the name uncultured bacterium. Its description in RNAcentral is "partial 16S ribosomal RNA". It matches the Rfam family "Bacterial small subunit ribosomal RNA", at positions 28 to 507 of the family's 1533-position model. The record is from RNAcentral.
GAUGAACGCUGGCGGCGUGCCUAAUACAUGCAAGUCGAGCGAACGGACGAGAAGCUUGCUUUUCUGAUGUUAGCGGCGGACGGGUGAGUAACACGUGGAUAACCUACCUAUAAGACUGGGAUAACUUCGGGAAACCGGAGCUAAUACCGGAUAAUAUUUUGAACCGCAUGGUUCAAAAGUGAAAGACGGUCUUGCUGUCACUUAUAGAUGGAUCCGCGCUGCAUUAGCUAGUUGGUAAGGUAACGGCUUACCAAGGCAACGAUGCAUAGCCGACCUGAGAGGGUGAUCGGCCACACUGGAACUGAGACACGGUCCUGACUCCUACGGGAGGCAGCAGUAGGGAAUCUUCCGCAAAGGGCGAAAGCCUGACGGAGCAACGCCGCGUGAGUGAUGAAGGUCUUCGGAUCGUAAAACUCUGUUAUUAGGGAAGAACAUAUGUGUAAGUAACUGUGCACAUCUUGACGGUACCUAAUCAGAAAGCCACGGCUAACUACGUG